Molecule: ribosomal RNA, 532 nt
Filed under: uncultured bacterium ECS16
Lineage: Bacteria
Description: bacterial SSU rRNA
Rfam family: Bacterial small subunit ribosomal RNA
Source: RNAcentral
GCAUGUGUUUAAUUCGAAGAUACGCGCAGAACCUUACCAACACUUGACAUGUUCGUCGCGCUCUAAGAGAUUAGAGCUUUCGGUUCGCCGGACGAAACACAGGUGCUGCAUGGCUGUCGUCAGCUCGUGUCGUGAGAUGUUGGUUAAGUCCCGCAACGAGCGCAACCCUCACUUUUAGUUGCCAUCAUUUAGUUGGGCACUCUGAAAGAACUGCCAGUGAUAAGCUGGAGGAAGGUGGGGAUGACGUCAAGUCCUCAUGGCCCUUACGUGUUGGGCUACACACGUGCUACAAUGGCAUUUACAAUAGGAAGCAAGAUGGCGACGUCAAGCAAAUCUUAAAAAGAUGCCUCAGUUCGGAUUGUACUCUGCAACUCGAGUACAUGAAGCUGGAAUUACUAGUAAUCGCGGAUCAGCGCGCCGCGGUGAAUACGUUCCCGGGUCUUGUACACACCGCCCGUCACACCAUGGGAGUUGGUUCUACCUUAAGGCAAGGUUUAAAACCCUUGACCACGGUAUAGUCAGCGACUGGGGU